Molecule: ribosomal RNA, 799 nt
Filed under: uncultured Glomeromycotina
Lineage: Eukaryota; Fungi; Glomeromycota
Description: SSU rRNA
Rfam family: Eukaryotic small subunit ribosomal RNA
Source: RNAcentral
AUCAACUUUCGAUGGUAGGAUAGAGGCCUACCAUGGUGGUAACGGGUAACGGGGUGUUAGGGCACGACACCGGAGAGGGAGCCUGAGAAACGGCUACCACAUCCAAGGAUGGCAGCAGGCGCGCAAAUUACCCAAUCCCGACACGGGGAGGUAGUGACAAUAAAUAACAAUACGGGGUUCUUUAGGAUUUCGUAAUUGGAAUGAGUACAAUUUAAAUCUCUUAACGAGGAACAAUUGGAGGGCAAGUCUGGUGCCAGCAGCCGCGGUAAUUCCAGCUCCAAUAGCGUAUAUUAAAGUUGUUGCAGUUAAAAAGCUCGUAGUUGAAUUUCGGGAUCAAUAUAUCGGUCGUGCCUUUGGUAUGCACUGGUAUCAUUGGUUUCUACCUUCUGACGAAUCACGAUGUCAUUAAUUUGGUGUCAUGGGGAAUCAGGACUGUUACUUUGAAAAAAUUAGAGUGUUUAAAGCAGGCACACGCUUGAAUACAUUAGCAUGGAAUAAUGAAAUAGGACGUUUGAUCUUAUUUUGUUGGUUUCUAGGAUCGACGUAAUGAUUAAUAGGGAUAGUUGGGGGCAUUAGUAUUCAAUUGUCAGAGGUGAAAUUCUUGGAUUUAUUGAAGACUAACUACUGCGAAAGCAUUUGCCAAGGAUGUUUUCAUUAAUCAAGAACGAAAGUUAGGGGAUCGAAGACGAUCAGAUACCGUCGUAGUCUUAACCAUAAACUAUGCCGACUAGGGAUCGGAUGAUGUUAAUUUUUUAAUGACUCAUUCGGCGCCUUACGGGAAACCAAAGUGUUUGGGUUC